UGCGCAGGCGGAACUUUAAGUCAGUGGUGAAAUCUUGCCGCUUAACGGUAAAAUUGCCAUUGAUACUGAAGUUCUUGAAUAUGGUUGAGGUAGGCGGAAUGCGUUGUGUAGCGGUGAAAUGCAUAGAUAUGACACAGAACUCCGAUUGCGAAGGCAGCUUACUAAACCAUUAUUGACGCUGAGGCACGAAAGCGUGGGGAGCGAACAGGAUUAGAUACCCUGGUAGUC
This 228-nucleotide ribosomal RNA is filed under the name uncultured bacterium. RNAcentral's name for it is "partial 16S ribosomal RNA". It matches the Rfam family "Bacterial small subunit ribosomal RNA", at positions 568 to 795 of the family's 1533-position model. The record is from RNAcentral.